Molecule: long non-coding RNA, 1792 nt
Organism: Oncorhynchus keta (chum salmon)
Lineage: Eukaryota; Metazoa; Chordata; Actinopteri; Salmoniformes; Salmonidae
Exons: 6
Source: RefSeq, a predicted model, not a curated record
AACAUCAGGUCAGUAGUUCUAUAAUAUACAGUAGUGUUCUGUUCACUACAUCUACUAGCUAACAACAUCAGGUCAGUAGUUCUAUAAUAUACAGUAGUGUUCUGUUACCUACAUCUACUAGCUAACAACAUCAGGUCAGUAGUUCUAUAAUAUACAGUAGUGUUCUGUUACCUACAUCUACUAGCUAACAACAUCAGGUCAGUAGUUCUAUAAUAUACAGUAGUGUUCUGUUACCUACAUCUACUAGCUAACAACAUCAGGUCAGUAGUUCUAUAAUAUACAGUAGUGUUCUGUUCACUACAUCUACUAGCUAACAACAUCAGGUCAGUAGUUCUAUAAUAUACAGUAGUGUUCUGUUACCUACAUCUAACAACAUCAGGUCAGUAGUUCUAUAAUAUACAGUAGUGUUCUGUUACCUACAUCUACUAGCUAACAACAUCAGGUCAGUAGUUCUAUAAUAUACAGUAGUGUUCUGUUACCUACAUCUACUAGCUAACAACAUCAGGUCAGUAGUUCUAUAAUAUACAGUAGUGUUCUGUUACCUACAUCUACUAGCUAACAACAUCAGGUCAGUAGUUCUAUAAUAUACAGUAGUGUUCUGUUACCUACAUCUACUAGCUAACAACAUCAGGUCAGUAGUUCUAUAAUAUACAGUAGUGUUCUGUUCACUACAUCUACUAGCUAACAACAUCAGGUCAGUAGUUCUAUAAUAUACAGUAGUGUUCUGUUCACUACAUCUACUAGCUAACAACAUCAGGUCAGUAGUUCUAUAAUAUACAGUAGUGUUCUGUUACCUACAUCUAACAACAUCAGGUCAGUAGUUCUAUAAUAUACAGUAGUGUUCUGUUACCUACAUCUAACAACAUCAGGUCAGUAGUUCUAUAAUAUACAGUAGUGUUCUGUUACCUACAUCUACUAGCUAACAACAUCAGGUCAGUAGUUCUAUAAUAUACAGUAGUGUUCUGUUACCUACAUCUACUAGCUAACAACAUCAGGUCAGUAGUUCUAUAAUAUACAGUAGUGUUCUGUUACCUACAUCUACUAGCUAACAACAUCAGGUCAGUAGUUCUAUAAUAUACAGUAGUGUUCUGUUACCUACAUCUACUAGCUAACAACAUCAGGUCAGUAGUUCUAUAAUAUACAGUAGUGUUCUGUUCACUACAUCUACUAGCUAACAACAUCAGGUCAGUAGUUCUAUAAUAUACAGUAGUGUUCUGUUCACUACAUCUACUAGCUAACAACAUCAGGUCAGUAGUUCUAUAAUAUACAGUAGUGUUCUGUUCACUACAUCUACUAGCUAACAACAUCAGGUCAGUAGUUCUAUAAUAUACAGUAGUGUUCUGUUCACUACAUCUACUAGCUAACAACAUCAGGUCAGUAGUUCUAUAAUAUACAGUAGUGUUCUGUUCACUACAUCUACUAGCUAACAACAUCAGGUCAGUAGUUCUAUAAUAUACAGUAGUGUUCUGUUCACUACAUCUACUAGCUAACAACAUCAGGUCAGUAGUUCUAUAAUAUACAGUAGUGUUCUGUUCACUACAUCUACUAGCUAACAACAUCAGGUCAGUAGUUCUAUAAUAUACAGUAGUGUUCUGUUCACUACAUCUACUAGCUAACAACAUCAGGUCAGUAGUUCUAUAAUAUACAGUAGUGUUCUGUUACCUACAUCUAACAACCUCUCUGCAUCACUCCCCCAAUCAGGCCAUUAUGGUAGAGUGGCCAGAUGGAAGCCACUCCUCAGUAAAGGGCACAUGACAGCCCGCUUGGAGUUUGCCAAAAGGCACCUAAAGAC